RNAcentral lists this ribosomal RNA (666 nucleotides) under uncultured Actinomycetales bacterium. Its description in RNAcentral is "bacterial SSU rRNA". It matches the Rfam family "Bacterial small subunit ribosomal RNA", at positions 60 to 739 of the family's 1533-position model. Lineage: Bacteria; Bacillati; Actinomycetota; Actinomycetes; Actinomycetales. The record is from RNAcentral.
AGUCGAACGGAAAGGCCCUGCUUGCAGGGUACUCGAGUGGCGAACGGGUGAGUAACACGUGGGUGAUCUGCCCUGCACUUCGGGAUAAGCCUGGGAAACUGGGUCUAAUACCGGAUAGGAGCCAUUUUUAGUGUGAUGGUUGGAAAGUUUUUUCGGUGUAGGAUGAGCUCGCGGCCUAUCAGCUUGUUGGUGGGGUAAUGGCCUACCAAGGCGGCGACGGGUAGCCGGCCUGAGAGGGUGGACGGCCACAUUGGGACUGAGAUACGGCCCAGACUCCUACGGGAGGCAGCAGUGGGGAAUAUUGCACAAUGGGCGCAAGCCUGAUGCAGCGACGCCGCGUGGGGGAUGACGGCCUUCGGGUUGUAAACUCCUUUCGCUAGGGACGAAGCUUUUUGUGACGGUACCUAGAUAAGAAGCACCGGCUAACUACGUGCCAGCAGCCGCGGUAAUACGUAGGGUGCGAGCGUUGUCCGGAAUUACUGGGCGUAAAGGGCUCGUAGGUGGUUUGUCGCGUCGUCUGUGAAAUUCCGGGGCUUAACUCCGGGCGUGCAGGCGAUACGGGCAUAACUUGAGUACUGUAGGGGUAACUGGAAUUCCUGGUGUAGCGGUGAAAUGCGCAGAUAUCAGGAGGAACACCGAUGGCGAAGGCAGGUUACUGGGCAGUUA